UCCACAAGCGGUACAGGAUGGGCUCGCGUCUGAUUAGCUAGUUGGUGAGGUAACGGCUCACCAAGGCGACGAUCAGUAGCCGACCUGAGAGGGUGAACGGCCACACUGGAACUGAGACACGGUCCAGACUCCUACGGGAGGCAGCAGUGGGGAAUAUUGCACAAUGGGCGAAAGCCUGAUGCAGCAACGCCGCGUGAGUGAUGAAGGCCUUCGGGUCGUAAAGCUCUGUCAGUGGGGAAGAACCGCCGGGUGGUUAAUACCUGCCUGGUCUGACGGUACCCACAAAGGAAGCACCGGCUAACUCCGUGCCAGCAGCCGCGGUAAUACGGAGGGUGCAAGCGUUGUUCGGAAUUACUGGGCGUAAAGCGCGCGUAGGCGGUUUGCUCAGUCAGAUGUGAAAGCCCUCGGCUUAACCGGGGACGUGCAUUUGAAACUGUCAGACUUGAGUGCAGGAGAGGGCAAUGGAAUUCCAUGUGUAGCGGUAAAAUGCGUAGAUAUAUGGAGGAACACCAGUGGCGAAGGCGGUUGCCUGGCCUGUAACUGACGCUGAGGCACGAAAGCGUGGGGAGCAAAUAGGAUUAGAUACCCUAGUAGUCCACGCUGUAAACGAUGAAUACUAAGUGUUGGAGAAAUUCAGUGCUGCAGUUAACGCAAUAAGUAUUCCGCCUGGGGAGUAUGCACGCAAGUGUGAAACUCAAAGGAAUUGACGGGACCCCGCACAAGCGGUGGAUUAUGUUGUUUAAUUCGAAGCAACGCGAAGAACCUUACCAAGUCUUGACAUACCGCGCAAGGCCCUGGAGACAGGGAGAUAGUUAUGGCGGAUACAGGUGGUGCAUGGUUGUCGUCAGCUCGUGUCGUGAGAUGUUGGGUUAAGUCCCGCAACGAGCGCAACCCUUAUCUUUAGUUACCAUCAUUCAGUUGGGGACUCUAGAGAGACUGCCGGUGACAAACCGGAGGAAGGUGGGGAUGACGUCAAAUCAUCAUGCCCCUUAUGGCCUGGGCUACAAACGUAAUACAAUGGCGUAUACAAAGGGAUGCGAAAGGGCGACCUGGAGCAAAACUCACAAAGUACGUCUCAGUUCAGAUUGGAGUCUGCAACUCGACUCCAUGAAGGCGGAAUCGCUAGUAAUCGCGGAUCAGCAUGCCGCGGUGAAUACGUUCUCGGGGUUUGUACACACCGCCCGUCAAACCAUGAGAGUUGGUAAUACCCGAAGCCGGUGAGCUAACCGCAAGG
This 1234-nucleotide ribosomal RNA is filed under the name uncultured bacterium. Its description in RNAcentral is "bacterial SSU rRNA". It matches the Rfam family "Bacterial small subunit ribosomal RNA", at positions 208 to 1446 of the family's 1533-position model. The record is from RNAcentral.